Molecule: ribosomal RNA, 849 nt
Filed under: uncultured bacterium
Lineage: Bacteria
Description: bacterial SSU rRNA
Rfam family: Bacterial small subunit ribosomal RNA
Source: RNAcentral
CUUGAGUACAGUAGAGGUGGGCGGAAUUCGUGGUGUAGCGGUGAAAUGCUUAGAUAUCACGAAGAACUCCGAUUGCGAAGGCAGCUCACUGGACUGCAACUGACACUGAUGCUCGAAAGUGUGGGUAUCAAACAGGAUUAGAUACCCUGGUAGUCCACACAGUAAACGAUGAAUACUCGCUGUUUGCGAUAUACAGUAAGCGGCCAAGCGAAAACAUUAAGUAUUCCACCUGGGGAGUACGCCGGCAACGGUGAAACUCAAAGGAAUUGACGGGGGCCCGCACAAGCGGAGGAACAUGUGGUUUAAUUCGAUGAUACGCGAGGAACCUUACCCGGGCUUAAAUUGCAGUGGAAUGAUGUGGAAACAUGUCAGUGAGCAAUCACCGCUGUGAAGGUGCUGCAUGGUUGUCGUCAGCUCGUGCCGUGAGGUGUCGGCUUAAGUGCCAUAACGAGCGCAACCCUUAUCUUUAGUUACUAACAGGUUAUGCUGAGGACUCUAGAGAGACUGCCGUCGUAAGAUGUGAGGAGGGUGGGGAUGACGUCAAAUCAGCACGGCCCUUACGUCCGGGGCUACACACGUGUUACAAUGGGGGGUACAGAAGGCAGCUAGCGGGUGACCGUAUGCUAAUCCCAAAAGCCUCUCUCAGUUCGGAUCGAAGUCUGCAACCCGACUUCGUGAAGCUGGAUUCGCUAGUAAUCGCGCAUCAGCCACGGCGCGGUGAAUACGUUCCCGGGCCUUGUACACACCGCCCGUCAAGCCAUGGGAGCCGGGGGUACCUGAAGUACGUAACCGCAAGGAUCGUCCUAGGGUAAAACUGGUGACUGGGGCUAAGUCGUAACAAGGUAACCA